UACAGAGACCUCGAGCGUUAUCCGGAAUUACUGGGCGUAAAGAGCGAGCAGCCGGUCGUAUUAGUCUGUCGUUAAAUACCGAGGCCCAACUUCGGUGCUGCGAUGGAAACGGUACAACUAGAGUAGGUAAGAGGGAGGCGGAACGUGCAGUGUAGGGGUGAAAUCCAUUGAUAUUGCACGGAACACCAAAAGCGAAGGCAGCCUCCUGGUGCUCUACUGACGGUCAUUCGCGAAAGCGUGGGGAUCAAAAAGG
This 253-nucleotide ribosomal RNA is filed under the name uncultured bacterium. RNAcentral's name for it is "partial 16S ribosomal RNA". It matches the Rfam family "Bacterial small subunit ribosomal RNA", at positions 524 to 776 of the family's 1533-position model. The record is from RNAcentral.